AAUAUUGGACAAUGGGCGAAAGCCUGAUCCAGCCAUGCCGCGUGAGUGAUGAAGGCCCUAGGGUUGUAAAGCUCUUUCAACGGUGAAGAUAAUGACGGUAACCGUAGAAGAAGCCCCGGCUAACUUCGUGCCAGCAGCCGCGGUAAUACGAAGGGGGCUAGCGUUGUUCGGAAUUACUGGGCGUAAAGCGCACGUAGGCGGAUUGUUAAGUGAGGGGUGAAAUCCCAGGGCUCAACCCUGGAACUGCCUUUCAUACUGGCAAUCUAGAGUCCGGAAGAGGUGAGUGGAAUUCCGAGUGUAGAGGUGAAAUUCGUAGAUAUUCGGAGGAACACCAGUGGCGAAGGCGGCUCACUGGUCCGGUACUGACGCUGAGGCGCGAAAGCGUGGGGAGCAAACAGG
RNAcentral lists this ribosomal RNA (399 nucleotides) under uncultured bacterium. Its description in RNAcentral is "partial 16S ribosomal RNA". It matches the Rfam family "Bacterial small subunit ribosomal RNA", at positions 360 to 776 of the family's 1533-position model. The record is from RNAcentral.